AGCUGGAACUCCUGCCUGUGGCGCGUGUCCCCAGGGCCCUGGCUGUGCUGCCGCCUCCCUGCCUCCCCCAGCACAGCCAAGACAGCAGUGCAGGGAGAGGAGAUGGCUGGCUACCUGGCCAACCGUUGUUUCUGGUAUUUGCCAGUCUUUUGUGAGCUACCGUGCCUUUAUAAACUAUAACGGAGGACUUGCAGAAAGCAUGGAGGCAGGGGGAGUCAGAGAUAGCUAAGCAACACUUAAAUGGUUCCUGUUUAAACAACUGGCAUUCUUUUAAAAAGCUUGGCUACAAUAUCUGCUUCCUUUAACUUUGCCACCAGUGAUUGCCUUUAGCAAACUGGGGAAACCAAACUGGACUUUUUUCUUAACGGUCCAUUUAAGCUUUGAUUACUGGUUGUUAAGCUCUCAAUCCACUAACAUUCAAAAAAAUAUUACAAAUGUGUCUCUCCCUCUGCUAGGACUGAAACUUCCAGUGAGGAUUUACGGACUCUUCUUGGUUUGUAUCAGAGACAGGCUUUCAAGGGAUCAGUCUAAACACGAGGGCUCCUGUAUAACUUAGACACCCUAUGAAAUCAGAGACUGAGAUUUUCCAUCUGGCUCUGAAGUGGUGCUGUACCACCUGGUUAAGGUUCGUUUGGUCAAAGGGAGCUGUGCACUGAAGAGUAAUCAGUAAAGACCCAGUGUGAGGGUAGAUCAUUCUGUGGAGUUGUUUUUUUGUUUGUUUGCUUUCCAAUUUUGUAGCCCCAUAGCAGUAUGUGUAGCAGUAUCCUCAAGCAAAGAGCCUUCUAAAGGUGUUUCAGCAGGUUUGGAUGAACAAAUUGAAUUCAGCAUUUGUUCCAGGGCUUUAAAAACAAUCAGAAAUUUUGUAGUCCAAGUGCUAAUUAGACUGAUGUGUGCCUGUUUUAUCAUGUUAUUCCUGCAAAACCAGGUAACUGAGCUGUGCAAUGUUUCAUCCAUUUGGAGCCCUCAGUUUUCUGAGUUAAACACAGCUUACCGAUGUGGAUUUGGGAUGAUCUUGGUCACUUCUUUCUGA
This 1030-nucleotide long non-coding RNA is filed under the name Anas platyrhynchos platyrhynchos (common mallard). RNAcentral's name for it is "lncRNA (ENSAPLG00000024422.1)". The record is from RNAcentral. Lineage: Eukaryota; Metazoa; Chordata; Aves; Anseriformes; Anatidae.